Long non-coding RNA from Ipomoea nil (Japanese morning glory), 203 nucleotides. RefSeq lists it as uncharacterized. Lineage: Eukaryota; Viridiplantae; Streptophyta; Magnoliopsida; Solanales; Convolvulaceae. The transcript is spliced from 3 exons. The record is from RefSeq and is a predicted model, not a curated record.
AAAUACAUAAUUUUUGGAUUGGAUUCACAUGACUUUCUUAAUUCAACUUCACUUCAAUGAACACAAUUCAGGAGUGUAAUUUAAAUAAAUUUUUGCAGUGUCUUUCCAAACAUUCUAUUCUUUUGUACCGAGCUCUUUCUUUGUACUGAGUUGCCUAUGGUGACCAAAUUUUUUAUGGAAAUGGAAUUUUGUAUUGUUAAGCA